Molecule: ribosomal RNA, 484 nt
Filed under: Escherichia coli
Lineage: Bacteria; Pseudomonadati; Pseudomonadota; Gammaproteobacteria; Enterobacterales; Enterobacteriaceae
Description: partial 23S ribosomal RNA
Rfam family: Bacterial large subunit ribosomal RNA
Source: RNAcentral
GGUUAAGCGACUAAGCGUACACGGUGGAUGCCCUGGCAGUCAGAGGCGAUGAAGGACGUGCUAAUCUGCGAUAAGCGUCGGUAAGGUGAUAUGAACCGUUAUAACCGGCGAUUUCCGAAUGGGGAAACCCAGUGUGAUUCGUCACACUAUCAUUAACUGAAUCCAUAGGUUAAUGAGGCGAACCGGGGGAACUGAAACAUCUAAGUACCCCGAGGAAAAGAAAUCAACCGAGAUUCCCCCAGUAGCGGCGAGCGAACGGGGAGCAGCCCAGAGCCUGAAUCAGUGUGUGUGUUAGUGGAAGCGUCUGGAAAGGCGUGCGAUACAGGGUGACAGCCCCGUACACAAAAAUGCACAUACUGUGAGCUCGAUGAGUAGGGCGGGACACGUGGUAUCCUGUCUGAAUAUGGGGGGACCAUCCUCCAAGGCUAAAUACUCCUGACUGACCGAUAGUGAACCAGUACCGUGAGGGAAAGGCGAAAAGAAC